AUUCUUUCUUAAAAUAUUCAAGUAGCUACAACAAAACAGAUUACAUUAAUUCACCAGUAAGAGGCAGCAGUGCGCUAAUGUGCAACAGGAACAAAACAACAGAAGAAGAAAUAAGGACGGUGAGCAUGCGCAGCAAGCAAAGUUUUGAAGCUGCGUCGAAUUUGCUUAAACUAAAAAGUAGAAAGACUGUUUACAUUUCACCUCUGGACAAAGAAUGAUCGAUUACUUCUACACAAUAAUAAUAAGCACCAGUGUUAGCAACAGGGAGCAACGAUCUUUGCUAUUCUGCUAUUAGAACAAAAACUAUAGAAAUACACAACUUGUGGCACAUUUGGGUAAAGGAAAAAAGCUUGUGUCAUCUGUCUUCUCUGAGCAGCGGUCUUGUGAUCACCGGUCUCAGUAUAAUAAAGAAAAGAUUUGACAGAACUACAUACCCAUCUGAGGCCUACCUGUUUUAAUUCAUGAUCACCCCGGAUACUUCUACAACUAACCUGCUUGGUGUCUGAUGCUGAUGCAGUCUGGGCACUAGUAUCUGUUGGCUUGCUGACUAUCACUGACGAUGAAGUACUUCUCCAAAUCUUGACCCAGUGUCUUCUGCCAUCAUUGUUCAGGGUAGUACUGCAAAGAAUAGUCUCCAGGGUCUGCCUCCAACAUUUGCUUCCCGACCACCAUGUGCUACGCUUGCAUCACUACAUGUGGGUUACCCUGAUACUGUGAAGAAAACCUACAAUAUGAUGCUUGACUUGGGACAGAAAAAAAAAACAUUGGCAACUUGUGUGGCCAACUCAUUGCCGUAUUUAAAAUCAUUGUACUGCUACCUCCAUUGUUUAACAUAACUAAAAGCAGAUUGUUUUUGCUUUGUUUCAAAAUUUUUGUAAUACGAGUUAAAACUACAUUGAAAAAAAUAUAUCAUCUUUAACUUUGAACUGUCACUACAUUUGAUUUAGGGUAAUUAUGUGUGUGAAGAAUAGAACAUUGUUGUCAUGAAUUUGUAAUAGAUUUUUGAAGUAUUUAAGUUACUAGAGUAAUGGUAACUUUUUUUUUUAAAGGCAAUUGGUCAAAACUAGAUUUCUGUUCAAGUAAAUACAACUUAGAAAUUCCAAGUUGCAGGAAAUGUUACUUGAUUUAGCUAAAUUUAAAUGAGUUGUUUGAAAUACGUACAUAGUAUAAUGUACUUAAUUUAGUUGUUGGAAAUAGUAAUUCUGAGUUACACGUUUACAACACUUAUAAAUAAACCUUUGUUAGUACAAAUUACUAUUCUUAUUUCACUUUACUUGUUUUUUUUUUUAAGGUUUACUCAUUAUAAUUUACAGUGCAGACAAGCACAUGCCCAGUGCACACUAGUGAGAUAAAUUCAAAACACUGUAAUUGUAAUAAAGUACUGUAACUAUACUGUACUACACUGUGUGAUUCUUUCAGCUCUCUCUCCAGUGCUAGGAUGCAUUUUUAAAGCAGUCACCUGUGCUACUGAAUGCUUGCUUAUGGAUAAUUGUGUGUUAUUUGAGUUCAUACUGUGACAAUAGAGUUAACUAUUUGAUGUGUUUGUGUUUUAUGACUGAUACUUUGGAGAAAUCAUUAAAAUUGUAAUGUGUGUAUAUAUGAAUAUUAUAGAAUAUUAUAAUUUCUAAACUACUAAAUUAUUAAAACAUUACAUGAUUGAAGUGUUUA
This is a long non-coding RNA of Carassius gibelio (silver crucian carp), 1668 nucleotides long. RefSeq lists it as uncharacterized. The transcript is spliced from 5 exons. NCBI's taxonomy places the organism in Eukaryota, Metazoa, Chordata, Actinopteri, Cypriniformes, Cyprinidae. The record is from RefSeq and is a predicted model, not a curated record.